RNAcentral lists this small RNA (746 nucleotides) under Pongo abelii (Sumatran orangutan). RNAcentral's name for it is "retained intron". The record is from RNAcentral. Lineage: Eukaryota; Metazoa; Chordata; Mammalia; Primates; Hominidae.
AUUUCACCCUCCUGUGUUUCCUGGUGGGUGUCUCCUCAGCCUCCCUGUCCCCACCUCCUCUUCUUGGCUGUGGCCUCAUUUUUGACCUGUAUCCCCACUUCCCUGCUGCCCCGUCUCUCAUUACUACUAAUACUAAUGCCUCGUCUCUGUGCCCCCAUCUCUGCCUCACUUCCUGUCACUUAAGCCCCCAUCUUUGGCCCACCUCAGGUGCCUACUGCCGCCUCUGCACUGUCCCUGGAGCUGCAGGAAGUGGAGCCCCUGGGGCUACCCCAAGCCUCCCCUAGCCGCACCCGUUCCCCUGAUGUCAUCUCCUCAGCUUCUACUGCCCUGUCCCAGGACAUCCCUGAGAUUGCGUCUGAGGCCCUGUCCCGUGGUUUUGGCUCCUCUGCACCAGAGGGCCUUGAGCCAGACAGUAUGGCUUCAGCUGCCUCGGCACUGCACCUGCUGUCCCCACGGCCCCGGCCAGGGCCUGAGCUCGGCCCCCAGCUUGGCCUUGAUGGAGGUCCUGGGGAUGGAGAUCGGCAUAGUACCCCCUCCCUCCUGGAGGCAGCCUUGACCCAGGAGGCCUCAACUCCUGAUAGUCAGGUUUGGCCCACAGCACCUGACAUUACUCGUGAGACCUGCAGCACCCUGGCAGAAAGCCCCAGGAAUGGCCUUCAGGAAAAGCACAAGAGCCUAGCCUUCCACCGACCACCAUAUCACCUGCUGCAGCAACGUGACAGCCAGGAUGCCAGUGCUGAGCAAAG